This is a non-coding RNA of Myotis davidii, 75 nucleotides long. Lineage: Eukaryota; Metazoa; Chordata; Mammalia; Chiroptera; Vespertilionidae. The record is from Rfam.
ACUGAGGGUGGGUGGGUCCCUCAGCCUGGACUGUGAGAGGGCACAGGUCAGGCAGAGGAACCCCACCAGUGCACA